This 445-nucleotide long non-coding RNA is filed under the name Phoenix dactylifera (date palm). Its description in RNAcentral is "long non-coding RNA (PDAC_LNC006072)". Lineage: Eukaryota; Viridiplantae; Streptophyta; Magnoliopsida; Arecales; Arecaceae. The record is from RNAcentral.
UGCAAGCAAAUUAGAUAAUUUACUAAAUGAAGUGAGUGUAGAGAGAAAAGGAGACAGCAGCAAAUACAAAUACAACCAAGUUUAUAGUGGUUCGGAGCCAACUCUUGCUUCUACGUCCACUCCCCAAGCCGCACUUGGGUUUUCACUAUAAUCCCUAGGAUUAUAGCUGGUUGUUUUACAAGCUCACAACCUAACUUGUUGUUUUUCCGAGAUUACAACGAACUCGGUCGGUUUUCACAGGCUCACCGACUAGAACCGCCCAAUUAUUUUUCCGGGUUCACAAUCAAACCCAGUUGGUUUUUUUCGGUUCACCAACCAAAACCUUACAACGUUGGUUUUAUAUUUGGCUCACCAACAAACCUUACAACCAUUGAUUCAAUCUCCUGAUUGAAUCAAGUAAGAAAAAUAGAGUUUGGGAUUUCACAGAGAAAGCUUCUAAACAAGC